RNAcentral lists this ribosomal RNA (759 nucleotides) under uncultured bacterium. RNAcentral describes it as "bacterial SSU rRNA". It matches the Rfam family "Bacterial small subunit ribosomal RNA", at positions 28 to 776 of the family's 1533-position model. The record is from RNAcentral.
GAUGAACGCUAGCGACAGGCCUAACACAUGCAAGUCGAGGGGUAACAGAUAUAAAGCUUGCUUUAUAUGCUGACGACCGGCGCACGGGUGAGUAACACGUAUGCAACCUACCUUUUACAGGAGAAUAACCCAGAGAAAUUUGGACUAAUACUCCAUAACGUUUAUUAAUCGCAUGAUUAAUAAAUUAAAGCUCCGGCGGUAAAAGAUGGGCAUGCGUCCUAUUAGUUAGUUGGUAAGGUAACGGCUUACCAAGACUAUGAUAGGUAGGGGUUCUGAGAGGACAAUCCCCCACAUUGGUACUGAGACACGGACCAAACUCCUACGGGAGGCAGCAGUGAGGAAUAUUGGUCAAUGGCCGCAAGGCUGAACCAGCCAUGUCGCGUGAAGGAUGACUGCCCUAUGGGUUGUAAACUUCUUUUGUAUGGGAAGAAAGGUGUCUACGUGUAGACAUUUGCCGGUACCAUACGAAUAAGGAUCGGCUAACUCCGUGCCAGCAGCCGCGGUAAUACGGAGGAUCCAAGCGUUAUCCGGAUUUAUUGGGUUUAAAGGGUGCGUAGGUGGCUGUAUAAGUCAGUAGUGAAAUCUCGGAGCUCAACUCCGAACGUGCUAUUGAAACUGUACAGCUUGAAUUCAGACGAGGCAGGCGGAAUGUGUAAUGUAGCGGUGAAAUGCAUAGAUAUUACACAGAACACCGAUAGCGAAGGCAGCUUGCCAGACUGCGAUUGACACUAAUGCACGAAAGCGUGGGUAGCGAACAGG